This 69-nucleotide transfer RNA is filed under the name Notropis hudsonius (spottail shiner). Its description in RNAcentral is "tRNA-Glu". The record is from RNAcentral. Lineage: Eukaryota; Metazoa; Chordata; Actinopteri; Cypriniformes; Leuciscidae.
GUUCUUGUAGUUGAAUUACAACGGUGUUUCUUCAAGUCACUGGUCUCGGUUAAAAUCUGAGCAGGAACC